This 378-nucleotide long non-coding RNA is filed under the name Equus caballus (horse). RNAcentral describes it as "lncRNA (ENSECAG00000055652.1)". The record is from RNAcentral. Lineage: Eukaryota; Metazoa; Chordata; Mammalia; Perissodactyla; Equidae.
GAUCUCUCAGGGGCAAGCAUGUUUCUCUUGGAUAAGAGUGGGGUGAAAGGCACUAUCGAAGUCUGAAUGCUGGUUGCAGAAGAUAAUUUGAAGAAUGGGAACAUUAAGCCAUACUCAUUCAACCUACUCUUUAAGAGUUUGACAGGAGGGCCUAUACCUGCAUAUGCUCCCACCUCCAUCCCAAGGGGAAAAAGAUGUCAAUGGCUAGGCUAUCAAAAAUAUCAUGGCUUCUGUCUUGGUGCCUCUUGGAUUUCACACUCUGGGGGAAGUCAGUCCACAUGUUGUAAUGAUGCUCAAGCAGCCCAUGGAGAAGCCCCCCUGAAGAAGAACUUGAAGACAAUAACCGGAAACAUGUGAGAGCGCCAUCUUGGAAGCAGA